GGUGGCUCAGUGGGGAGAGCACAGGACUUGCAUGUCUGGGACCCUAGGUUCCAUUCCUGGCACCA
Molecule: transfer RNA, 65 nt
Filed under: Erinaceus europaeus (western European hedgehog)
Lineage: Eukaryota; Metazoa; Chordata; Mammalia; Eulipotyphla; Erinaceidae
Rfam family: tRNA
About the family: Transfer RNA (tRNA) molecules are approximately 80 nucleotides in length. Their secondary structure includes four short double-helical elements and three loops (D, anti-codon, and T loops). Further hydrogen bonds mediate the characteristic L-shaped molecular structure. tRNAs have two regions of fundamental functional importance: the anti-codon, which is responsible for specific mRNA codon recognition, and the 3' end, to which the tRNAs corresponding amino acid is attached (by aminoacyl-tRNA synthetases). tRNAs cope with the degeneracy of the genetic code in two manners: having more than one tRNA (with a specific anti-codon) for a particular amino acid; and 'wobble' base-pairing, i.e. permitting non-standard base-pairing at the 3rd anti-codon position.
Source: Rfam by way of RNAcentral